This 439-nucleotide ribosomal RNA is filed under the name uncultured bacterium. RNAcentral describes it as "partial 16S ribosomal RNA". It matches the Rfam family "Bacterial small subunit ribosomal RNA", at positions 339 to 795 of the family's 1533-position model. The record is from RNAcentral.
CUACGGGGUGCUCCAGUGGGGAAUAUUGCACAAUGGGGGAAACCCUGAUGCAGCAACGCCGCGUGGAGGAUGACGCAUUUCGGUGUGUAAACUCCUUUUAUAUAGGAAGAUAAUGACGGUACUAUAUGAAUAAGCACCGGCUAACUCCGUGCCAGCAGCCGCGGUAAUACGGAGGGUGCAAGCGUUACUCGGAAUCACUGAGCGUAAAGCGCGCGCAGGCAGCCUUUUAAGUUGGAUGUGAAAGCCUAUGGCUUAACCAUAGAACUGCAUCCAAAACUAUCAGGCUAGAGUCUGGGAGGGGAAGAUGGAAUUAGUUGUGUAGGGGUAAAAUCCGUAGAGAUAACUAGGAAUACCAAAAGCGAAGGCGAUCUUCUGGAACAGUACUGGCGCUGAGGCGCGAAAGCGUGGGGAGCAAACAGGAUUAGAUACCCUCGUAGUC